Molecule: ribosomal RNA, 253 nt
Filed under: uncultured bacterium
Lineage: Bacteria
Description: partial 16S ribosomal RNA
Rfam family: Bacterial small subunit ribosomal RNA
Source: RNAcentral
UACGUAGGGUGCGAGCGUUGUCCGGAAUUAUUGGGCGUAAAGAGCUCGUAGGCGGCCUGUCGCGUCGGAUGUGAAAGCCCGGGGCUUAACCCCGGGUCUGCAUUCGAUACGGGCAGGCUAGAGUGUGGUAGGGGAGAUCGGAAUUCCCGGUGUAGCAGUGAAAUGCGUAGAGAUCGUAAGGAAGACCAGUGGCGAAGGCGGGUCUCUGGAAAGUUCCUGACACUGAGGCACGAAGGCCAGGGGAGCAAACGGG